This is a long non-coding RNA of Triplophysa dalaica, 1644 nucleotides long. RefSeq lists it as uncharacterized. The record is from RefSeq and is a predicted model, not a curated record. The transcript is spliced from 3 exons. Lineage: Eukaryota; Metazoa; Chordata; Actinopteri; Cypriniformes; Nemacheilidae.
GGGGGGUGGGGUCUAUCCCACAGUGCUGUCAGCAACUGGAAAAUAUUUCAUAGCAAGUUGCUAGUUUUGAUUAGUAGUGAUAUAUAAAUUCGUAUAACGUUUAUACGACAAUAAUCUGAUGCAUAAAUAUGGCACAUGUAUUGGUAAUUAGAUGUACAAAAUAUGAAAAUAGAUUAUUCACAUGCACGAAUUUACAGACCCAUUUAUGUGCAACAUGCUGCACUGCUGUGUUUAAUAAGUAUAUCAUCAUAGAAAAACACGUAUGCGGUGGCAAUCAGCGCUGAAUUGUGGGUCAACCGCGCCGCCAUAUUGGAAAGGUCAGGCGUGUCCUAUAAACACGUACAAGUGAACGGGUAACUGCGGGUUUUCUGUAGAAAAACACAAUAAUAACUAGUGGUGGGCCGUUAACGGCGUUGUGAGACUAUUAUCGCGCGUUAAAAAAAAUGUCGCCGUUAAUCUAUUCUCAAAGUUGGGUUGGCAGUUGGGUCUAUACUACGCAAGCUAUGAUGACUUUCACCUUGAUAUUUUAGCGCAGAUGUAUACCAGCUUAACUGCACUGUACGGGGCGAGAACGAGAUUUUUCAACUCGCGUGAUUCGCGUCAUUCGCGGAAGCAGAAGCCGCCUCAUCAUCUCAUGACCAGGGCUUCAUUCGCGCGAUUCGCGCAGCAAUGUGUGAAAUCCCUGGGAUCAAACCCAUGACCUUGGUGUUGCUAGCGUCGUGCUCCAACCACUGAGACACAGGAAAGCUAUAGAUGUUUAUUAUGAUGAUUAUACAGGGCUGCCCACACAGCUGAUGCCCUCUGCAGAAAGUGCAGGCCUCUCCAUUUGAGGAACCCCAGCCUCCAGCAGCCGUUCUCUGAUGAGCUGGGACGCUGUCGUCCAUGAGGAUGAAAACAGGCCUGUGUUGCUCGUGCACAGGCACAAUGACUGGAUUGAUGAUGUCAUUCAGGAAGUAUUGGCUUGUCCCAGUAUCAUUCACAAGACACACCUGCCCAGACUGAAAUGCAUCACCUCCAAAGGCUUCUGAGCCUUCUAUGCAAUAAGUACUGAAACACUGACCAGUGGACAUGGCCAUUAGAGAAGGUCAAAUUAAGUUCACCUGUAAAGAUUACAGUAAAUUUAAGGUGCAUUAGGCACAUGCCUAACUUUUAUGUAUGUUAAUUAGGGACACUAUGCACAUUGAGAAUUGUAAAUAUAACAACAUACAUGUACACCCUUUUAAUGAACACUUGUAUUUAUUGCCUGAAGCUCAGCUUGCAUUAACUUCUGUCCCAAAUAACAACAACCGGACAACAGGUGUGAUGGACUGCGCAGAUGGAUCGUUGUAUGACAUCAAAGCCCUGCAGUGAGAGCGAUCAGAUCUCACCUCUUCCUCUGUCCCCCAGCGCCCCCAUGAGUGGGCAUUCCUGACGUCUGCUGCCAUCUCCAUUACUAAAUGAAACGCCCAAUUAAUUCAUUCCAUAACCUGUUUCCUCAAAAAUAUGACAAGUUCACCUGGAUUACAACAUAAUCACAAGAUUUAUUUGAAGGUUCCUCGUGACCUCUGAAGUUUGGAAAGCUCUUAGCAAGAAGCAUCUUAAUCUCUUUUUGGCUGAGAGGGAAAUCUACGCUUUAAAUUCUGCCCUUUAUACAGUGAGUGUGUU